ACCUGCAGAUUUUAAUGUUUCUCAUACUCAUAUGUUGGGACAAACCUUAGUUGUAUGUAGUAUAUGCUCUCACUUGACAAUUAAGCACAAAGAAAAUAAGUAUGCUGUUGAGUUUAUUCCUAACGGAACUGGACCCACAGCCAGACCAGAGGCGAGGGCCUGCUGACCAUCUUAAUAGAUGCACACCAGCCCUUCUGAGUUUUUAGUUUUAGUUUUUCACUUUUGUGCCUCAGUUUCUUGUUUGUGAAACAGGGUUACUGGUACCUGCCUCUUGAAUGCUAUGGAUAUUAAGUAAAGGCACAUUGUUGAGACUAGAGAAGGUUUAAUGACUAGUACUAGGUAGGUGACACUUUACCACUGUUCCCCAGGCUGCUGUUUCCUCGGAGCCCACUCACUGACCUGCUUGGAGAAUGCAAACCUGAAUGGAGAUCGUUUUGGUAGAAAUACCUGAUACAGUGUGUUCAUCCUCAGAACAGGGGUUCCCCACCAUUCUGCCUUUCCUCUCUGGUAUUAGUGUAGCAUCCAGCAUGCCAGUUUCAGAAGUGACAGGCUGGUGCUUGAUUUAGUCUUUAAUCUGAACUUUGCUGUUAAAAUAUUCUUGAUGGAUUUUUAAAGCAUUUCACAGAGAAGCCACCAAAGUUUUCCUGCUAAAUACAUUGGACCUUAAGUCAACUGUUUGGUUUAGUCAAAUAAUAGCUAAGUGAUCCACUGGGCAGUUUUUAGGAGUAAAUAUUAGGAAGAAUUAUUUUCCUCUGGCAUCACAAAUUGUCCUACGUCUUGCUUCAGCCUCCUCUGGUAGAGUCUAGUCUGUCUGAGCACUGAUAAUGUUUAAAUGACUAUGCCUCCCCUGAUAGGCUAUCACAGGUUUCCCUGAAAGGUCUCAUGAGCUCUGUGUGUAGGCCAUAGAAUAGAGUGAUCUCUGCUGAGUGCUGCAUCCAUCCAUGGAGCCUAAGCUGAAGACUCACUGAGCCCACCACAGCUGGCCUUCCUGCCUCAGUUGCCCUGCAGAGUUUAGGGUCUUGGAUUUUGUGAUUCUGUGAUUUGUAGUUAUAAACCUUAACUGCUCGGGGGAAAAUUAUUUUAUUGUAUUGUAAUUUAUUUGUUUAGUCUAGGAAUCAGUGCUGUUGUGACCUUAUACUAAGUCAUUUCUGAUCAUUGGUACUGAACAAGUGGGUACCGCAGAGAGAGAGAGAGAAAGCCACCUCAUCAGGCUCAUGGCAAGUGUUCUUGCACAACAUCCUUAUACUUGCUGUCUGCUUCUCACCUGCUGCCAAGGGCAGCGAUGCUGUGAGCAGAGGAAUUUUAUGAUCUAUCUAAAUAGAUCUAAACAAAGCCAAAGUAAAGUAGUGUUGGACUUGUUUUGUUUUGUUUUUAAUCUUCUUGAUAAGCUUCACUUUGUCAGAUGUAAUGGGGCAUGCCUUUUAUCCCAGCACUGGAAGCAGAGGCUGGUGGGUCUCUAUUAUGAGUUCAAGGCCAGACAGGGUUAUAGUAAGACCUUUUCUUAAGAAAGGAAGG
RNAcentral lists this long non-coding RNA (1515 nucleotides) under Mus musculus (house mouse). RNAcentral describes it as "long non-coding RNA chr4:131887902-131889417". Lineage: Eukaryota; Metazoa; Chordata; Mammalia; Rodentia; Muridae. The record is from RNAcentral.